GUUUUUUAUAUAUGACAACAGAAUGCAUUACAAUUCAUAUUACACAUAUAGAGCACAAUUUUUCAUAUCUCUGGUUGUACACAAAGUAGACCUCACAUCCUUUGUGUCUUUAUACAUGUACUUAGGGUAAUGAUGACCACCACAUUCCACUGUCUUUUCUACCCCUAUAUCCCCUCCCUUCCACUCCCUCCCCCUUUCCCCUUUGCCCUAUCUAGAGUUCAUUUAAUCCUCUCCCCAGCCCCCGCAGCAUAUUAUGAAUGAGCAUCCUUUAAUCAGAGAAAUUAUUCAGCUUUUGAUUUUGGGGGAUUGGCUAAUUUCCAAUAUUCUUAGCUUUAUAUUCUCCAGCUCCAUCCAUUUACCUGCAAAUGCCAUGAAUUUAUUCCAUUUAAUUAUGAGUAAUAUUCCAUUGUGUAUCCAUACCACAUUUUCUUUAUCCAUCCAUCUACUGAAGGGCAUCUAGGUUGCUUCCACAGUGUAGCUAUUGUGAAUUGUGAGACUAUAAAAAUUGAUGUGGCUGUGUCCCUGUAGUAUGUUGUUUUUAAGUCCUUUGGGAUUUUAGGAUUGGGAUAGCUGGGGCAAAUUGUGGUUCCAUUCCAAGUUUUCCAAGGAUUCUCCAUUUUGCUUUCCUUAUUGGCUGCACCAGUUUGCAGUCCCACCAGCAAUGUAUGAGUGUGCCUUUGCCCCCCCCCCCCACAUCCUCAUCAACACUUAUUGUUGUUUGUAUUCUUAACAACUGCCAUUUGACUGGAAUGAGAUGAAAUCUUAGAGUAGUUUUGAUUUGCA
RNAcentral lists this long non-coding RNA (783 nucleotides) under Marmota monax (woodchuck). The record is from RNAcentral. Lineage: Eukaryota; Metazoa; Chordata; Mammalia; Rodentia; Sciuridae.